UCCCUAUGGGGUGCAGCAGGCGAGAAAACUUUGCAAUGUGCGAAAGCACGACAAGGUUAAUCCGAGUGGUUUCUGCUAAAGGAACCUUUUGUCGGUCCUAGAAACACCGAUGAAUAAGGGGUGGGCAAGUUCUGGUGUCAGCCGCCGCGGUAAAACCAGCACCUCAAGUGGUCAGGAUGAUUAUUGGGCCUAAAGCAUCCGUAGCCGGCUUUGUUAGUUUUCGGUUAAAUCUGUACGCUCAACGUACAGGCUGCCGGGAAUACUGCAGAGCUAGGGAGUGGGAGAGGUAGACGGUACUCGGUAGGAAGGGGUAAAAUCCUUUGAUCUAUUGAUGACCACCUGUGGCGAAGGCGGUCUACCAGAACACGUCCGACGGUGAGGGAUGAAAGCUGGGGGAGCAAACCGGAUUAGAUACCCGGGUAGUCCCAGCUGUAAACUAUGCAAACUCAGUGAUGCAUUGGCUUGUGGCCAAUGCAGUGCUGCAGGGAGGCCGUUAAGUUUGCCGCCUGGGAAGUACGUACGCAAGUAUGAAACUUAAAGGAAUUGGCGGGGGAGCACCACAAGGGGUGAAGCCUGCGGUUCAAUUGGAUUCAACGCCGGAA
This 602-nucleotide ribosomal RNA is filed under the name uncultured archaeon. Its description in RNAcentral is "bacterial SSU rRNA". It matches the Rfam family "Archaeal small subunit ribosomal RNA", at positions 319 to 923 of the family's 1478-position model. The record is from RNAcentral.